Microcebus murinus (gray mouse lemur) is the source of this 1607-nucleotide non-coding RNA. The record is from RefSeq and is a predicted model, not a curated record. Lineage: Eukaryota; Metazoa; Chordata; Mammalia; Primates; Cheirogaleidae.
AUGGGCUGCCAAAGCCACGAGGGGCACGGGUAUGACAUGCCAGCCAUGCGUCUCAGUACCACAGGGAGUUGGCCCAGCGCCGGCCCCUCCUGCGCCCCAGGCCACGGGCCACUCGUCACUAGUGCAGGACCUCAGCUGCCCCUGCCCUGCUCCCCGACCCUGAACGGGGACCUUUCUCGGGCUGCCAGGCCUCAGGGUGCUGGACGUCUGGGCCGGGGCCAUCAAGGGCCUGCCCCGCCCCCCCCGACCCCCUGGGCCUGCCCCAGCAUCUCCAGGUUGGCCCCAGAGCUGUCCCUGUGGGCCGGCACACGGCAGGACACAGUGACGUGCGUGGACAGGGUCUGGCGUGAGGCGCUGAGGAGGACAAGGCGUCGGUUGGGAGCAGCCCCCGUCAGAGCCACGCGACGCUGCUCAGGUUGGGCCAGAACGGGCGUCACAUCGAGGAGCAGCUGGGGCGGAAGACGGGGACGCCGCCGGUGCUCUGCAGGGAGUUUAUGGGGACGGCGCUCGAAGAGGUUAGCAGUCUGCAGACGGAUCACCGCUUUAAGAAGGGCGAGACGGCGCCGGAGACCUCAUGACCUCAGGGGUCAUGAGGGUCCCGUGUGGCAAGUGGCCUGGGCCCACCCCAUGUACGGCAAUAUCCUGGCAUCCUGCUCCUACGACCGAAAAGUCAUUAUCUGGAAAGAAGAAAAUGGCACCUGGGAAAAGACCCACGAGCACUCAGGACACGACUCCUCAGUGAACUCUGUGUGCUGGGCCCCCCACCACUACGGCCUGAUCCUGGCCUGUGGGAGCUCGGAUGGGGCCAUCUCCCUGCUGACCUACACUGGGGAAGGCCAGUGGGAAGUGAAGAAGAUCAACAACGCUCACGCUAUUGGCUGCAAUGCUGUCAGCUGGGCCCCUGCUGUUGUACCUGGAAGCCUCAUAGACCAGCCGUCAGGACAGAAACCCAAUUACAUCAAGAAGUUUGCAUCAGGUGGCUGUGACAACCUCAUCAAGCUGUGGAAGGAGGAGCAAAAGCUGGAGGCGCACAGUGACUGGGUCCGAGACGUGGCCUGGGCCCCCUCCAUUGGCCUGCCCACCAGCACCAUCGCCAGCUGUUCCCAGGAUGGUCAUGUGUUCACUUCGACUUAUGAUGAUGCCUCGGGCAACACGUGGUCCCCCAAACUGCUGCACAAGUUCAAUGACGUCGUGUGGCACGUGAGCUGGUCCAUCACGGCCAACAUUCUGGCCGUCUCCGGCGGAGACAACAAGGUGACCCUGUGGAAAGAGUCGGUUGACGGGCACUGGGUGCCCAUCAGUGAUGUCUACAAGGGCCAGGGCUCCGUGUCAGCUUCAGCCACAGAAGGCCAGCAGAACGAGCAGUGACCAGAUGGUUGGGCAUGGCUCCCCCAACUGCCAGCUCCAGGACUGCCCCUUCCUGGGCCAACUGACCAAAGAACUGGGAAGAGCUCCCAACUCCAAGAUUAUUUUCCCAGCAGUGGUUACAAGUGUGACCACAGGUUGAUCAUCUGCCUUAACAUGAUUUGAUAUGGUUUGAUACUGUCCAGCUGAAAGCACUCAUGUUAUGAAGAAACUACAAGUGAUCUUCAAAUCUAUUAUCUUAA